Cercocebus atys (sooty mangabey) is the source of this 103-nucleotide small nuclear RNA. NCBI's taxonomy places the organism in Eukaryota, Metazoa, Chordata, Mammalia, Primates, Cercopithecidae. The record is from Ensembl.
GUGCCCACUUCUUUAGCACAUGUACUAAAAUUGGACAAUAGAGAGAUUAGCAUCGUACCUACACAAGGAUGGCAUACAAAUUUGUUAUGUGUUUCAUAUUUUU